CAGGAUUAGAUACCCUGGUAGUCCACGCUGUAAACGAUGAGUGCUGAAUGUGGGGGCGUUUUGUCUCUGUGUUGUAGCUAACGCGUUAAGCACUCCGCCUGGGGACUACGGUCGCAAGACUAAAACUCAAAGGAAUUGACGGGGACCCGCACAAGCGGUGGAGCAUGUGGUUUAAUUCGAUGCAACGCGAAAAACCUUACCACUUCUUGACAUGGAGAUUAAAUCCUUCUUAACAGAAGGGCGCAGUUCGGCUGGAUCUCGCACAGGUGCUGCAUGGCUGUCGUCAGCUCGUGUCGUGAGAUGUUGGGUUAAGUCCCGCAACGAGCGUAACCCUCAUCCUUAUUUGCCAGCGGGUUAAGCCGGGCACUUUAAGGAAACUGCCAGUGGUAAACUGGAGGAAGGUGGGGAUGAUGUCAAGUCAGCACGGCCCUUAUGGGGUGGGCUACACACGUGCUACAAUGGUGACUACAAUAGGUUGCAAUGUCGCAAGGCUGAGCUAAUCCGUAAAAGUCAUCUCAGUUCGGAUUGUCCUCUGCAACUCGAGGGCAUGAAGUCGGAAUCGCUAGUAAUCGUGGAUCAGCAUGCCACGGUGAAUACGUUCUCGGGUCUUGUACACACUGCCCGUCACGCCAUGGGAAUUGGCUUAACUC
This 650-nucleotide ribosomal RNA is filed under the name Anaplasma platys. RNAcentral describes it as "bacterial SSU rRNA". It matches the Rfam family "Bacterial small subunit ribosomal RNA", at positions 773 to 1422 of the family's 1533-position model. The record is from RNAcentral. Lineage: Bacteria; Pseudomonadati; Pseudomonadota; Alphaproteobacteria; Rickettsiales; Anaplasmataceae.